UAAUUUUUGUGAAAAGUCGAUUCGGAGUCGUGGUGGCCAGUAGAAUCCCACAUUUCAACUAAAAUCCAUGACUCAUUCGGAUUAACCUCAAUAGGUUAAUCCAAGAUCGAGUCACGGUUUCUAGGGUUGCUAUAAAAAACAUAGAUUCACUCUGAAUCAAAAUUUUCGGAGUCGUGCGAUUCUUACGGUGAAGGUCGAUCGGAUUUUACCUGAAACAGAGAGACGGAGAUGCUCGCAGUUGAGAAGAAUUUGAAAAUUGAGUUGAUUGAAGGUUGUAAACUUUAUAUCUAGGGUUUACCCUCUUUCCAAAUCAGACGCUCGAAUCCGAGAAAGCAGUCGGGAACUGCGAAUGCGAAGAGAGAGAGAGACCUACAGUUUCUUUUGCUCUCUGUGUUUUCCAUUUUUUCCUCUCUGGUAAAUGUUGAUACAUUUGGUGAAGACCAUCGAGAUCACUUCUUUACUGAGCUCAGAAUUCUGAUUGAUAAAAGGAGUAGCGAUCAUGGCACUCUUGAGGUCAACCAAAAGGGCUAUAGUUGAUGAUCCCAUCACUAUUUGAUCAAGGUG
Molecule: long non-coding RNA, 564 nt
Organism: Macadamia integrifolia
Lineage: Eukaryota; Viridiplantae; Streptophyta; Magnoliopsida; Proteales; Proteaceae
Exons: 5
Source: RefSeq, a predicted model, not a curated record